Molecule: ribosomal RNA, 460 nt
Filed under: uncultured bacterium
Lineage: Bacteria
Description: partial 16S ribosomal RNA
Rfam family: Bacterial small subunit ribosomal RNA
Source: RNAcentral
CCUACGGGGCGCAGCAGUGAGGAAUAUUGGUCAAUGGACGAGAGUCUGAACCAGCCAAGUAGCGUGAAGGAUGACUGCCCUAUGGGUUGUAAACUUCUUUUAUAUGGGAAUAAAAUGUUCCACGUGUGGGAUUUUGUAUGUACAAUAUGAAUAAGGAUCGGCUAACUCCGUGCCAGCAGCCGCGGUAAUACGGAGGAUCCGAGCGUUAUCCGGAUUUAGUGGGUUUAAAGGGAGCGUAGGUGGAUUGUUAAGUCAGAUGUGAAAGUUGUCGGCGCAACCGUAAAAUUGCAGAUGUGACUGGCUGUCUUGAGUACGGUAGAGGUAGGCGGAAUUCGUGGUGUAGCAGUGAAAUGCGUAGAUAUCUCGAAGAACUCCGAUUGCGAAGGCAGCCCACUGGACUGCAACUGACGCUGAUACUCGAAAGUGUGGGUAGCAAACAGGAUUAGAUACCCUGGUAGUC